AGGCCUCCUGUCGCCUGGCUCCGCCCCCGGAGGCUGCCGGCCUCCCGGCCCAGCCCAGACCUCCCCUGGCCCUGGCUGACUCGCCGCCCCCGACACUGCAGCGCCUGCCGGCCUCGGGGCCCCGCCCUCUGCCUUCGCUCGCGCCGCGCUCCUUCAGCCUCCCCAGGGCCUGUUUCACGGAUGGGGUCCCCUUGCCCGCGUGAAUAUCUUCCUCCUCAGCUCGGAAACACUCUAAGGUCUCAGCGACCGAUACUGGCCUUCCCUCAUCCGAAUACCCCUCGUGCCCCGAUGUACUUUUCCAUUCCCACUCCACAUGCUGGCAGCCUAGCUUCUAAGCUGAGGAGCUUGGCCUUCGCUCCAGGUGCUGGAAGGAUUUGAUUUCGCAGUUUAGAAAGAUCGCUCUGCUCCUGUGAGGAGGGCGUGUAGGGGCUGCAACCAGAGACACAGUCAGAAGCUCCGAGGCUACAGCGAUGGUCCAGGUGCCACAGGACACAGCCUAACAGAGGCCCAGGUUGGAGCCAUGGACCAUGGAGUCAUGAGAAUGGAAGGGAAGCUGACGCCAUGUGGGAUGGGGUAGAACUGUCCGCAAAUUCGUCCCGCCUCUGGAGUCUUCAGACCAGUCAAGACCGAAAUUGAACCAAGCCUCUCCUCUCUAUAGCUGUUAUUUGUUUGCAGCACGUGGUCAGGUGGCACCCUGCAGGAUUUAUCAGCUUUUUGCCAACAUUCUGGCCUAUGCAAUCAAUAUGUCCCUUCAGCGUUGCACUCGGAUGGAUUGGACCUACAGUUGUUCUAUAUGGAUAUUAUCUAAAUUAUUUAUUACAGUAUUAGCUGACUCCUAUCUUCUGGCCUUCAGAAUUUCUCCUUUGGAUCAAUUACUAGCCUGUCUUACAUUUUCUGCUUCAUUCCUUUAAAAUGUUUAGAGAUGAUUUGCUAACUUCUAAGUUUUCUUCAUUGCAGUCAAUGAUGCAGUUUAAACUGUCAAAAAAUGUUUUUUUCUCAAGCAGGGUAGUAGUGGUAAACCAUUCCCUUGCUCUUCAGACAGCAUGGUUUAGAUGAGGCACACCCAUCCCCAGCUCUAGGAAUGGAAACAGGACCCAAGUCUGGCUAAUCAGAGAUUGGCUUAGGGUUGGCCCCAUGAUCUGAGCCAGACCAAUGAGAGUUGGUAGAGGGACUUUUCUGGAACUAAAGAAAUGGAUCCUGGCGGGGCAUGGUGACUCAUGCCUGUAAUCCCAGCACUUUGGGAGGCCGAGGCAGGUGGAUCAUCUGAGGUCAGGAGUUCGAGACCAGCCUGACCAACAUGGUGAAACCCCGUCUCUACUAAAAAUACAAAAUUAGCCGGGCGUGGUGGUGCAUGCCUGUAAUCCCAGCUACUCAGGAGGCCGAGGCAGGAGAAUCGCUUGAACCCGGGAGGCGGCGGUUGCAGUGAGCCAAGAUGGCGCCAUUGCACUCUAGCCUGGGCGACAGAGUGACUCUGUCUCAAAGAAAAAAACCAAAUGGAUCGUUUUCUUUUGCAACUUCUGUUUUAGAAUCGGGAUAUAUAUGCAGGCUUGUUACGGAGGUAUAUUGCUUUUGCAACUUGUAGUUUAGAAUCGGGGUAUAUAUGCAGGCUUAUUACAGAGGUAUAUAGCUUUUGCAACUUCUAGUUUAGAAUCAGGGGUAUGAUGCAGGCUUGUUACAGAGGUAUAUUGCAUGGUGCUGAGGUUGGGAGUAUGAACGAAUCUGUCCUUCAGGUAAUGAGCAUAGUACCCAACAGGUAGUUUCAACCCUUACCCCCUUCCUCCUUCCCCGUCUUGUAUUCCCCAGUGUCUGUUGUUCCCAGACAUUGAUCUUUUUCCGCUAUGUUGCUAAGCUGGUAGAAAGGCUGGAGUUGCUGGCAACCAUCUUUGCAACAAUGCAGGGAGAGCUACUUUGGAAAUGAAGCAAGACAAAGAAGAAAAUAGAUAAAAGGAAACAAAUAAAUGUUUGACUUUGCUUGUACAGCUGGAAACCAGCAAUGCUGGAAAUAGGCACUAUAGGCAGUUUAAUGGGUUUGUCACUUGUAACCAAGUGACCCAUGGCAAGCUCACAGAUUUGUAUUGGCAGAAUUCCUCCUUUUAUUUAAAAUGGUACUUUUGGCCAGGCAAGAUGGCUCACACCUGUAAUCCAAGCACUUUGGGAGGUCGAGGCGUGCGGAUCACCCGAGGUCAGAAGUUCGAGAACAGCCUGGCCAACGUGGCAAAACCCCGUCUCUACUAAAAAUACAAACCAUUAGCUGGCUGCGGUGGCCUACCAGUUUUUUGUCUCCAAAAAAAAAAAAAAAGGUACUUUUGCUUAUCUCUAACCUUCCUCUUCCCCAUAAUUUAACAAUUGUCCAUACUAUCUGUUACUCUGAGUUGCUCUCUGCCCCAUUCUCCCCCUCUUAUCCUCAGUUUCCCCUAGGCUGUCAGAGCCAUCUGAAAUGAAAACAUUUAGGUCGGGCAUAGUGGUUCAUGCCUGUAAUCCCAGCACUUUGGGAGGCUGAGGCGGGUGGAUCACCUGAGGUCAGGAGUUCGAGACCACCCUGGCCAACAUGGUGAAACCCCAUCUCUACUGAAAAUACAAAAACUAGCCAGGCAUGGUGGCGCAUGCCUCUACUCGCAGCUACUCGGGAGGCUGAGGCAGGAGAAUCACUUGAACCUGGGAGGCGGGGGUUGCAGUGAGCCGAGAUUGAGCCACUGCACUCCAGCCUGGGCAACAGAGUGAGACUUUGUCUCAAAUAAAUAAAAUGAAAUAAAAUGAAAACAUUUACCACUUGAAAUCCUUCAGAUUCCCCAUCACCUACCUACAGGCAAAACUCCCAAAUUCUUUUGUACGAUUUAACCACUAUCUGCCUGUCCAACUGAAAUCUACCCUCUACUGAUAUUAUACUUGCACCUCCCUGCAUAAGCUAUGCUACAAGUUUGGUUAUGCAGUUGCCCAUCUUUUAAGGUUCAAGCCUUGUCUUCUCCAAAGAGCCACCUCUGACUGCCUCACAGUAAGCUUAGAGCCCGCAACUUACCUGUAACUUUUGUUGCACUUGUGGCCUUUUACAACUAUGAAUUUAUGUAUGUGUCUGUUCUCACUGGUUUAUAAGCUCCAUGAGGAUAGAGCCUUCCUUGAGUCAUCUGUUAACAGCCCAAUAUGGGACAAAAAGUGCAUGCACUGUGAUUACUGAACAGAACUGAGAGAGGCUAAGCAAUUUGCGCUCCACAGGUUUAAGUCUGAACUCUUCUAGAAAAGGAUUUGCGGGAUGAUCUGACCAAUCUUGGGCUUCCAAAUUAGUUCCAACAGUUCCAGUAUUUCUUUUCUGACAGAAGCAAAUAAGUUUUACUUUAUGAUUAAAACAAGUGAAAUGCAUUUAGUACCAGGAAA
Long non-coding RNA from Macaca mulatta (Rhesus monkey), 3369 nucleotides. RefSeq lists it as uncharacterized. The record is from RefSeq and is a predicted model, not a curated record. NCBI's taxonomy places the organism in Eukaryota, Metazoa, Chordata, Mammalia, Primates, Cercopithecidae.